AUUGAACGCUGGCGGCAUGCUUUACACAUGCAAGUCGAACGGCAGCGCGGGCUUCGGCCUGUCGGCGAGUGGCGAACGGGUGAGUAAUACAUCGGAACGUGCCCAGUAGUUUGGGAUAGCUCGGCGAAAGCCGGAUUAAUACCGCAUACGACCUGAGGGCGAAAGCGUGGGAUCUUCGGACCUUCCGCUCUUGGAGCGGCCGAUGGCGGAUUAGCUAGUUGGUGGGGUAAAGGCCUACCAAGGCGACGAUCUGUAGCUGGUCUGAGAGGACGACCAGCCACACUGGGACUGAGACACGGCCCAGACUCCUACGGGAGGCAGCAGUGGGGAAUUUUGGACAAUGGGCGAAAGCCUGAUCCAGCAAUGCCGCGUGUGUGAUGAAGGCCUUCGGGUUGUAAAGCACUUUUGGCGGGAAAGAAAAGGACUGUGCCAAUACCACGGUUCGAUGACGGUACCCGCAGAAUAAGCACCGGCUAACUACGUG
Molecule: ribosomal RNA, 484 nt
Filed under: uncultured bacterium
Lineage: Bacteria
Description: partial 16S ribosomal RNA
Rfam family: Bacterial small subunit ribosomal RNA
Source: RNAcentral